CUUGGAGUCUUCACUGAUGAGCUGAUGAGUUGAAUCAGGUGUGUUUGAUCAGGGAGACAUCUCAAAUGUGCAGUGUUGGGGUUCUCCAGGACCAGGAUUGGGAGCCACUGCCUUAUGGGACACUUAUGUGUUUAAAGAGAUUUUUAAUAUCUAAUUAUCAAUAUUUCACAUACUGUACAUUGGACAGCUUUCCAUGACCUCUUGUGAGAUCUCGGCAAAAAGUCUGACGAUUUAUUCCAAAACAUGAUGCAUGAUGGGAUACACUAAGCUUUGUAUAGCGCUCCAGAGCAGUAUUGGAGAGGUUUAGUGUGUGUUAAGGACGCUGUGCUUUGGCAUUAUUAAGACCGGGGACAGUCUUGUGCACACACUGUCACGUACACACACUCUCAAGUGGCCAAGACUGCAAGUGUGGGUAUCUGGACAGGGUCAAAGUCUUAAAAAUGAUCCCUAAACACAUCACAGUCUUAAUAAUCCAGUUUAACACUUGUAUGAUAUUGUACAAGCCCCAGGACUGUCUCAUCUGACACUAUCAAAGAAUUCAUAUGACUAUAGCUUGUUAUUAAUUACUUGCUUUCAAUAAUGGAUUCAUUUAACAUUUAAUUAUACAGCAUCUUUACAGAGGUGUAAUGUACAAGCUGCACGUAAUUAAUAAUAUGUCCUUCCUUCUGUCUUACAGGAUUUUUUCCAGAUAAUGCUGUUCUUCUUUUUCAGGUCUAAAAUAUCGAGCUCAACAGCUAUUUUAAGAGCCAACCCUCACAAACCUUCCUAAAACCUAAAAGAGCUAUUACUGAGUCUCAGCGAAUCUUGCCAUGAUCAGCUCUUCCCAGAAGAGAAGGAAGACCAAGGAUAUGAUUUGCUCAGGAUGAGGAAUGAAGACGGCCAUCUUGUGCUCAAACAAACAGAAGUCCUCUGAUGAUCUCAUCAGCCAAAUGAGGGGUUUUGACCAAGUGAUGCUCUUGAAAGGAGUGAAAGAAGAGGAUGUGGUAAAUUGUCUUCAGAGAAAAGCUUCUCAAAAGAUCUUAAAACAGCUUGAAGAAUGGUCUGGGAUCUUAGGACUGAGAGAUCAUCUGGCUGAGAACAAGCUACACCUCAUCAGUGCUGGACAUCAACCACAAACUGUUUCCAGACACGAGAGAAGAAGAUCACGAUGGGGAGAUGAAACCAGUUUAGAUGUGAUGAUGGGAAUCAUUAUUUUCUGAAACAGUAUCACAUGUCUAAUAUGUAUCACAUGAUCUGUAUCACAGUUGACUGGAUGGGACUGUGUGACUUUUAAGGACAUUUCAUCACUCAUCUGUGUGAACUGAUUUAUAUAUGAGGUUAAUGUAUCUUUGAUGAUAAUUAUUUUCAUUGAAUCUUAUUUGUCUUGAUGCUACUUUAUCAAGUUUAUAGUCUAUGCUUCAAUAAAAUGAAAAUGGUGAAUAUUGUGUUCUGAAGAUUCUUGGUAAAUACAUCAUUUUACUAGGUAGGCUCAUAUGUGUUUAUUUUAGACUUGGAAAAACGACAUAUUAAUUAUUGGGAUUAUUUUUUUAUUUAAGACAUGAACAUUUUUGAUCGGAUUAAUAACAUCUGGGACAUCAGUACACCAGAAAGUAAUUUUUUUAUAUUUUAGUAACAAAUAUGCACAUUUUUUGUGAAAUACAGGGAGUUACAAGAUUAAUUAUUCUGCAUUACAAGAUGGUGCCAUGGGCUUUAUUGUUACAAGCACUUGACGGAUAACUGAGAAUGUAGCAGGAAUGAUCAACGUGGAUCUUGUACUGCAUUAAAACCAAGAGCACGCACAUUACUGAUGUCCAGCACAUGAGGAGCAAGAUACGGGG
Molecule: long non-coding RNA, 1817 nt
Organism: Carassius gibelio (silver crucian carp)
Lineage: Eukaryota; Metazoa; Chordata; Actinopteri; Cypriniformes; Cyprinidae
Exons: 4
Source: RefSeq, a predicted model, not a curated record